RNAcentral lists this ribosomal RNA (517 nucleotides) under uncultured archaeon. RNAcentral describes it as "bacterial SSU rRNA". It matches the Rfam family "Archaeal small subunit ribosomal RNA", at positions 357 to 872 of the family's 1478-position model. The record is from RNAcentral.
GCGAGAAAUCGUGACCAGGGAACUCCAAGUGCGUAGGGUAAGACCUACCGCUUUUCGGGACUCUUCAAAGGUCUUGGAAUAAAGGGGUGGGUAAGGACGGUGCCAGCCGCCGCGGUAAUACCGGCGCCUCAAGUGGUAGUCGCUUUUUAUUGGGCCUAAAACGUCCCGUAGCCGGUCUGGGCAUUCGUGGGUAAAUCAACCCGCUCAACGGGUUGAAUUCUGCGAGCACGGCCAGACUUGGGACCGGGAGAGGUGUGGGGUACUCUCAGGGUAGGGGUAAAAUCCUGUCAUCCUGAGAGGACCACCUGUUGCGAAGGCGCCACACUAGAACGGAUCCGACGGUCAGGGACGAAACCUAGGGGCACGAACCGGAUUAGAUACCCGGGUAGUCCUAGGUGUAAACGCUGUGGACUUGAUGUUGGGGGCGCUCCGAGCGCUCUCAGUGUCGAAGCGAAGGUGAUAAGUCCACUGCCUGGGGAGUACGGUCGCAAGGCUGAAACUCAAAUGAAUUGACGGA